UACGUAGGUGGCAAGCGUUGUCCGGAAUUAUUGGGCGUAAAGAGCUCGUAGGCGGUUUGUUGCGUCGGCUGUGAAAUCCCGAGGCUCAACCUCGGGUCUGCAGUCGAUACGAGCAAACUAGAGUGUUGCAGGGGAGACUGGAAUUCCUGGUGUAGCGGUGAAAUGCGCAGAUAUCAGGAGGAACACCGGUGGCGAAGGCGGGUCUCUGGGCAGUAACUGACGCUGAGGAGCGAAAGUGUGGGGAGCGAACAGG
This 253-nucleotide ribosomal RNA is filed under the name uncultured bacterium. RNAcentral describes it as "partial 16S ribosomal RNA". It matches the Rfam family "Bacterial small subunit ribosomal RNA", at positions 524 to 776 of the family's 1533-position model. The record is from RNAcentral.